This is a long non-coding RNA of Labeo rohita (rohu), 362 nucleotides long. RefSeq lists it as uncharacterized. The record is from RefSeq and is a predicted model, not a curated record. The transcript is spliced from 2 exons. NCBI's taxonomy places the organism in Eukaryota, Metazoa, Chordata, Actinopteri, Cypriniformes, Cyprinidae.
CAGCAGAGUCGGAGCGGAGCUGCUGUCGGACAACAUCUCCAGGACGCUACGCUCCAUUUGACUAGAAUUCACAAGCUCCAGUGUGGAUCCAGAACACUUAAGAAAAGAUGAUGCCAACCCUUCAGAGGACUUCAGAUGAUGCCAACCCUGAAAACAUACAGCACUACCAAAUUCUGCUACAAAUUUAUAGUGUUCUUUGUCUGUUUGAUUACGUCAUUAAUUGAUCUUUACCAGACAUCUCUACCAUAUGUACAUCAAGCUACUACUACAUAUAUAGUAAAAAUGUCAAUUUGGUGUAAAGCUGCUUUGCAACGAUAUGUAUCGUGAAAAGCGCUAUACAAAUAAAUUUGAAUUGAAUUGAA